AUACGGAGGGUGCAAGCGUUAUUCGGAAUCACUGGGCGUAAAGGACGCGUAGGCGGGUUGGCAAGUCAGAUGUGAAAUCCUACAGCUCAACUGUAGAACUGCAUUUGAAACUGCUAACCUAGAGUAUGGGAGGGGGAGAUGGAAUUAGUGGUGUAGGGGUAAAAUCCGUAGAUAUCACUAGGAAUACCGAAAGCGAAGGCGAUCUCCUGGAACAUAACUGACGCUAAGGCGUGAAAGCGUGGGGAGCAAACAGGAUUAGAAACCCGAGUAGUCC
Molecule: ribosomal RNA, 274 nt
Filed under: uncultured bacterium
Lineage: Bacteria
Description: partial 16S ribosomal RNA
Rfam family: Bacterial small subunit ribosomal RNA
Source: RNAcentral